UUUUUUUUUUUUUUUUUUUUAUAGUCAAAUUGAUCUCAGUAUUUCAAUCAUGUAACACUCCAGUAAUUUCACAUAAGAUAAAAAAAAAUUAUAAUUAAAUAUAUAAAAAUCAUAUAUUUUAAUAUUAAUAAGCGAUUUUAAAUAUUUUGAACGGCUAGUUUGAGCCUAUUGAAUUAUUAGUGCUAAGAGAUUCUGUCCGUCCAAAAUAUAAAUUAAGUCUUUAUAAUACUUUGCGAUCUUGAGCUAGAAAAAAAGAUCUGACGAGUCUGUGAUACUCUGGCAAUCCCAUGUCGGAUCGAAAAAAGAAAAAAAUUAUUGGAAAUAUAACGAUAAGAGAUUCUAGUAUAAAUAACUGGACUUAAAUAUUUUAAACCGAGAGUUUGGCCUAUUGAGUUAAUUUGGUAUUUCGAGCUGUUAGUGUUAAAAGACUGAAUCGUUACAAACUAUCACAUUCAAAAUCUAGUUAUUUCAUAUAAUACUACACGAGAAAGUCACAAUUUUGUGACUUUUCACAUUCUUAAUCUUAUUUAAUUUUCUUUAUCAGUACUAAAUAUGAAUAA
Molecule: long non-coding RNA, 560 nt
Filed under: Ananas comosus (pineapple)
Lineage: Eukaryota; Viridiplantae; Streptophyta; Magnoliopsida; Poales; Bromeliaceae
Description: long non-coding RNA (ACOM_LNC038618)
Source: RNAcentral